UAUCUCAUCUGGAAUGAGAAUCAGAGUAAAACGUAGUUCGGCUAACUAGGGGUUAAGGAUUGCAAUCUUAACAUGGACUUACAAAAGAGGACACCAGUUGUGUCAGAGGAGGGUGGGAAGUGUGUUCAACGUCCUAGCAGUAGGUGCCGCAGCUCGCUGAAUCGAGUCUUAGGCAGUUACCUUUUUGCAAAAAAACGGACUGACAUGC
Molecule: long non-coding RNA, 208 nt
Filed under: Lathyrus oleraceus (garden pea)
Lineage: Eukaryota; Viridiplantae; Streptophyta; Magnoliopsida; Fabales; Fabaceae
Description: Pisum sativum (pea) long non-coding RNA (PSAT_LNC015271)
Source: RNAcentral